This 708-nucleotide ribosomal RNA is filed under the name uncultured organism. Its description in RNAcentral is "bacterial SSU rRNA". It matches the Rfam family "Bacterial small subunit ribosomal RNA", at positions 672 to 1387 of the family's 1533-position model. The record is from RNAcentral.
GGUGUAGCGUUGAAUCGGGUAGAUAUCAUGAAGAUCAUCGGUGGCGAAGGCGGCUUCUUGGACUGAUACUGACGGUGAUGCGCGUAAGCGUGGGGAGCAAACAGUAUUAGAUACCGUGGUAGUCCACUCUGUAAGAGAUGCGUACUAGAUGUUGGGAUUUAUCUCGGUGCGGGAGCUAACGCAUUAAGUACGCAGCUUGGCGAGUAUGAUCGCAAGAUUGAAACUCAAAGGAAUUGACGGGGGCCCGCACAAGCGGUGGAGCAUGUGGUUUAAUUUGAUGCAACGCGAAGAACCUUACCUGGGCUUGAAAUGCACAUGAUAGACCCUGAAAGGGGUUUUUCCUUCGGGACAUGUGUAGAGGUGAUGCAUGGCUGUUUUCAGGUCGUCCCUCGAGGUGUUGGGUUAAGUCCAGCAACGAACGCAACCCUUGCCCUUAGUUGCCAGCAUUUAUGAUGGGGACUGUAAGGGGACUGCCCCGGAUAACGGGGAGGAAGGUGGGGAUGACGUCAAGUCAUCAUGGCCCUUUCGUCCAGGGGUACACACGUGUUUCAAUGGCCGGUACAGUGGGUAGCGAACCCGUGAGGCGGAGCCAAUCCUCAAAACCGGUCUCAGUUCGGAUUGCAGUCUGCAACUCGACUGCAUAAAGUCGGAAUCGUUAGUAAUCGCGGAUCAGCAUGCCGCGGUGAAUACGUUCCCGGGCCUUGUACA